Long non-coding RNA from Candoia aspera, 514 nucleotides. RefSeq lists it as uncharacterized. Lineage: Eukaryota; Metazoa; Chordata; Lepidosauria; Squamata; Candoiidae. The record is from RefSeq and is a predicted model, not a curated record. The transcript is spliced from 3 exons.
GCUGCUUACGGAAUAACGAGCUCUUCUGCCCUGCCUUCCCAACCCAGCCGCUGAGAGCCCCGGCAUAGAAAGAAGGGCCUUUGCCUCAGGUUCAGUCCUUGGGCUUGCCGACAGAAGGAUAAGGUAGCCUGCGAUGAGGAAGCCUCUGCUGUUGUUUUGUCCAUCAUCAUGUGCUCCAGAGGAAGAUACGUUUCACCUUCAUCAGGAAUAUGAAGCUGUUUAAGUCUUGAGAAGGGAGAAACCCAUUAUAAAAUGGCUGUGACACCGAUGAGCGCCCACCUGAGCUUUUUUCCGAGGAGAGCUUUGCCAAGGCUGUCAUUAGACUUUGGAGCACUCUGCUAAGGAAGGCCUGCCUCUCCUCCUUUCUGAUACAUUUGACCCCUCAGUCCUGAUUUUGAUUCCCAAGAUGUUUCAUUGCCCGACUAGGCAACAUCUUCAGUGCUCAAGAAGCGUUGCAGAAUAAACCAAUACUGUAAAUUAUUUUAAGACGACAACAACAACAGAAUAUCCUUUU